Long non-coding RNA from Artibeus jamaicensis (Jamaican fruit-eating bat), 386 nucleotides. RefSeq lists it as uncharacterized. The transcript is spliced from 3 exons. The record is from RefSeq and is a predicted model, not a curated record. NCBI's taxonomy places the organism in Eukaryota, Metazoa, Chordata, Mammalia, Chiroptera, Phyllostomidae.
CCUCAUUCCCCCAUGCAGCUAAGCCAACCCAAGCUAAGCACUCAAAACAUUCUUCUUAAUGCCCUUUGGGCUUGAACUGAAGUCUCCUCUCGGAUCUGAAGCAUGGAGUCUUGUGUACCUGCAUUCCACCAGCAAGCUCUCCUUGGUGACCAGUGGAGACUCCACCAGGAGACUCCAGGCCCAGAGAAACAGGAAAACCAGGUGGAGUGAACACCAUAGCAUCAGACAUAUGAUAUCAGGACAAGGUGCAAUGACUAAUGACACCAUGCCGUGGCAAUGACCAAUCAGUGGAGACCACGAUCCGGUAGAGACCACGAUCUGGAGGAGACACAUCUGGACAGCUGAUGAAUAUCCUCUCAGUAGUCUGCUGACAAAAGCCCUCAGGC